Molecule: long non-coding RNA, 1745 nt
Filed under: Papio anubis (olive baboon)
Lineage: Eukaryota; Metazoa; Chordata; Mammalia; Primates; Cercopithecidae
Description: lncRNA (ENSPANG00000049410.1)
Source: RNAcentral
AUGUGGUUAGUAGUGGCCAAGAAAUCAAAUAACUAUCAGGUGUGACAUACUAGGGUGUGAUAGGUUAGCUAUGGUCGAGUAGAACAGGCAAGAUGAGAUCACAAAGGUCCUUAUAGGAGUUAAAAAGAGAAUCCUGGCACAUAUACAGGUAGACUGAGUAACAUUUCUGACAUGCUCGUGAUGUGAUCAAUGAUUUAUGAGAAAAUUAUCUUGUUCGUUUUUAAGUGCUGAGUAUGUAUAAAAUCAUUUGUUUUUCCUUUCUAUACAUGUCUUGUUUUUACAAUUUGGAGAGAAAAAUAAAAGCUGCCUAGAUGUAAGCAAGUAGUUUAUAAUAUCAUUUUUAGUUCUUUACUGCCAGAGUUUGAAGUAUGAGAUUCCUGCUUUGAAGUUUUCAUUUCUAUUGUACUUAUUUAUUAAACUAAAGAUCAGUCAUUAUGUAACAAAUCUAUAAUACAUGAAACCAGAUUUUAGUGCUUCCUAGGGACAGAUCUUCAGGGUAUCCUUUCUUAUGUUAUGAUAACUUUAAAGAAAAAUCCAUUUCUCAGUUCUCUUUACUGAUUAUCUGUUCCUUUGUGUCACUCCAGAAAACAUCUGUAGAACCACAGAAUGUAAUAAAUAUGACUAAGCAAGGCGGAAGAAGCAUGUGGCUACUGCAUAAGAUGCGAUUAUUUUUCAGGAGAGAGGACUUAAACAUGCACCUGCUGAUGUGUGGUAGAAACUGAAGGAAGGUUCACCGGAGAACUGGCCUGGUUGCAGCCUUGCUGCUGCUCCAUACCAGUGAGGUGAACCAGUAGCUGAGCAACAACCUGAAUAAGUUGCAGCAGUGCCUGGACUCAGUCACAACCUGAGUGAGUUGCAGCAGAACCUACCAAGCAUAAAAGCAGUAUGUUGCUUGAUAAUUGCCUUUCAAAUAUUGUGCAAAAUAUCUCCUGUGCCUACCAUCAAUGAAAGUCUACAAGAAAGGAAUUUCUGGAAAAUGUAGUUCAGUAUGACAGAUUGACCCAUUACAAGCCACCUGAGAAAUCAACUAUAAAGUACAGAAGGAAAGAUAGGAUUCCCCCAAUAUUAAUUAAUUUGUAAUACUUUUAAUAACUACUUAUAUAUAAAAUUUUUAUUUAACAAUGGAAAUGAGUAUUUAUUCUUGUUUAUUAAGACAUCUAUUAUAUCUGUCUUAGUAUUUCCAGGAUGUUAAUUACUUGGAUGGAUCUUGAAAUCUCAAAAGAUUAAUUUGAUUAUGCUAAUGUAAAUAAUCAAAGCAAUGCAAAUCUGAAAACGUAAGAAGUAUGGUACAAAUAGUGGAAAAGAAUUUUCAUUUUUCAGCAACAUUUUCAUCCUUCUCUACCAUGAUAUGAACCAUUGGAGAUAAUUUUCUGCUAUGAUAACAGUCAUCUUUCCAUGCAAUCUGUUAGUGAGUCACAUCUUGCAAACAAGAUGCACUUUAAAGAAAGAGCCCUAUCCUGCGGCAUGUUAUAAUUAACUUAGGGAUGCAUCUUUAUAAAAGUCUGGAUCAAGUUAAGUUCCAUCAAUACCAAUUUUGUUCUUAAACACAGUUAGUCUACAUGUUCUUGGUGGAAUCGUUUUCUUUAGUGAGAAUAGUUUUGCUAAGUUUCCUAUAUAGUUUCUUAUUAUUUUAUAUACAAUUAGCCUAACACAACAGCUGUCUCUCAUUCAAGAAGUACCGCCUGGGCGCUGUGGCUCGCCUGUAAUCCCAGCAUCUCUUUGGGAGGCCGAGACGGGCGUAUCAC